Molecule: ribosomal RNA, 136 nt
Filed under: Actinomycetospora succinea
Lineage: Bacteria; Bacillati; Actinomycetota; Actinomycetes; Pseudonocardiales; Pseudonocardiaceae
Also listed under: 1 other name
Source: RNAcentral
UCCGGUGGUCACAGCGGAGGGGAAACGCCCGGACCCAUCCCGAACCCGGAAGCUAAGCCCUCCAGCGCCGAUGGUACUGCGACCGACAGGUCGUGGGAGAGUAGGACACCGCCGGAACACCCGACCACCCCCACAC